Molecule: ribosomal RNA, 325 nt
Filed under: uncultured Chloroflexota bacterium
Lineage: Bacteria; Bacillati; Chloroflexota
Description: bacterial SSU rRNA
Rfam family: Bacterial small subunit ribosomal RNA
Source: RNAcentral
GAUAAACGCUGGCGGCGUGCCUAAUACAUGCAAGUCGAGCGGGAUUGGCAGAUCGUAAGUGAAGCCAGUCUAGCGGCGGACGGCUGAGUAACACGUGGGUGACCUGCCUUGAAGUGGGGAAUAACGGUUCGAAAGAAUCGCUAAUACCGCAUACGACCGCAGCUUCGUUGCUGCGAUGAAAGCCGUAAGGCGCUUUAAGAGGGGCCUGCGUCCGAUUAGCUAGUUGGUGGGGUAAUGGCCUACCAAGGCUCCGAUCGGUAGCUGGUCUGAGAGGAUGAUCAGCCAGACUGGGACUGAGAACGGCCCAGACUCCUACGGGAGGCAG